This 253-nucleotide ribosomal RNA is filed under the name uncultured bacterium. RNAcentral's name for it is "partial 16S ribosomal RNA". It matches the Rfam family "Bacterial small subunit ribosomal RNA", at positions 524 to 776 of the family's 1533-position model. The record is from RNAcentral.
UACGGAGGGUGCAAGCGUUAAUCGGAAUUACUGGGCGUAAAGCGCGCGUAGGCGGUUUUUUAAGUCGGAUGUGAAAGCCCCGGGCUCAACCUGGGAACUGCAUCCGAUACUGGAAGACUAGAAUGCGGGAGAGGGAGGUAGAAUUCCAUGUGUAGCAGUGAAAUGCGUAGGUAUAUGGAGGAAUACCAGUGGCGAAGGCGGCCUCCUGGCUCGAAAUUGACGCUGAGGUGCGAAAGCGUGGGGAGCAAACGGG